RNAcentral lists this unclassified non-coding RNA (779 nucleotides) under Bombus terrestris (buff-tailed bumblebee). RNAcentral's name for it is "misc RNA ENSBTSG00005020633.1". The record is from RNAcentral. Lineage: Eukaryota; Metazoa; Arthropoda; Insecta; Hymenoptera; Apidae.
AGUCGUAAUAUUCUAUUUGUACUCUGAUGUAACCUUAUACAUUACUAAUUAGUAGUUAAUUAAUUGUUAGUUCUAAUUUAAUCCAAUCUAAUCGAAUCAUACUAUAUAUAAACUUUUUAAACAUUCAACAGAAUAGUAAAAAUAUCUUUACAUCUACAUACGUACAUAUGUUUCAUGCUCACACACCAUCUGUGUGUGGAUCUACAUAUACACUCGCGUGCAUUCAGCAUAUCAACAGCUCACAAAGAAAACGUAACUUGCGGAAUGUUCCGCUAGAGUGACAUCGGUCAGUUCGUCGUAUGCAAGUUUUAAUAUGGCGAAACGGAGUCGUAAAGUUAAAUGGGAUAGAAUAUAUUUUGAUUCUAAUUCUGAUUCUAACUUUAAUUCAAAUAUUCAAGAAAAAUAUAAAACUGAAACAAUUGAAACAAGCGAGGGCAUGCGGUAAUUUUGAAUACUAUAAAUAUCAAAAAAAUAGAAAGCUCGGAUGAGAUUAAUAUACAUAUGACUAAAUAAUAAAUAAAACUUCGUACAAAACAACAAGACAUUCGGGGCACUGGUACAAUAAUACAAUGAUACAUUAAUAAUAAUAAUACAUGUUUUGGCCGAGCGACUUGGCUCGUUACAUUCAUCCACGAUGCAUAUACAAUUUGAGCCAGUCGACGCGACACUGCCACGGUUACGAAUAGGUUAAUUUGUGUUGAUAAAUUAACCUAUUCAAAUAUGAAAGACAAGGAAUGACGCGACGGGGUAUUUUUAUGCUUAUGUUGUCUUUGUCUUUC